This 484-nucleotide ribosomal RNA is filed under the name uncultured bacterium. RNAcentral describes it as "partial 16S ribosomal RNA". It matches the Rfam family "Bacterial small subunit ribosomal RNA", at positions 30 to 507 of the family's 1533-position model. The record is from RNAcentral.
AUUGAACGCUGGCGGCAGGCCUAACACAUGCAAGUCGAGCGGAGGAAGGGAGCUUGCUCCUGGAUUCAGCGGCGGACGGGUGAGUAAUGCCUAGGAAUCUGCCUGGUAGUGGGGGAUAACGUCCGGAAACGGGCGCUAAUACCGCAUACGUCCUGAGGGAGAAAGUGGGGGAUCUUCGGACCUCACGCUAUCAGAUGAGCCUAGGUCGGAUUAGCUAGUUGGUGGGGUAAAGGCCUACCAAGGCGACGAUCCGUAACUGGUCUGAGAGGAUGAUCAGUCACACUGGAACUGAGACACGGUCCCGACUCCUACGGGAGGCAGCAGUGGGGAAUAUUGGACAAUGGGCGGAAGCCUGAUCCAGCCCUGCCGCGUGUGUUAAGAAGGUCUUCGGAUUGUAAAGCACUUUAAGUUGGGAGAAAGGGCAGUAAGUUAAUACCUUGCUGUUUUGACGUUACCAACAGAAUAAGCACCGGCUAACUUCGUG